RNAcentral lists this ribosomal RNA (108 nucleotides) under uncultured bacterium. RNAcentral's name for it is "partial 16S ribosomal RNA". It matches the Rfam family "Bacterial small subunit ribosomal RNA", at positions 386 to 508 of the family's 1533-position model. The record is from RNAcentral.
ACGCAGCGACGUCGCGUGGGGGAGGAAGGCUUUCGGGUUGUAAACCCUUUUAUCGAGGAAGAAAAAAAUAGACGGUACUCGAUGAAUAAGCCCCGGCUAACUCCGUGC